GACGAACGCUGGCGGCGUGCCUAAUACAUGCAAGUUGAGCGCUGAAGGUUGGUACUUGUACCGACUGGAUGAGCAGCGAACGGGUGAGUAACGCGUGGGGAAUCUGCCUUUGAGCGGGGGACGACAUUUGGAAACGAAUGCUAAUACCGCAUAAAAACUUUAAACACAAGUUUUAAGUUUGAAAGAUGCAAUUGCAUCACUCAAAGAUGAUCCCGCGUUGUAUUAGCUAGUUGGUGAGGUAAAGGCUCACCAAGGCGAUGAUACAUAGCCGACCUGAGAGGGUGAUCGGCCACAUUGGGACUGAGACACGGCCCAAACUCCUACGGGAGGCAGCAGUAGGGAAUCUUCGGCAAUGGACGAAAGUCUGACCGAGCAACGCCGCGUGAGUGAAGAAGGUUUUCGGAUCGUAAAACUCUGUUGGUAGAGAAGAACGUUGGUGAGAGUGGAAAGCUCAUCAAGUGACGGUAACUACCCAGAAAGGGACGGCUAACUACGUG
RNAcentral lists this ribosomal RNA (497 nucleotides) under uncultured bacterium. RNAcentral's name for it is "partial 16S ribosomal RNA". It matches the Rfam family "Bacterial small subunit ribosomal RNA", at positions 28 to 507 of the family's 1533-position model. The record is from RNAcentral.